This 1575-nucleotide ribosomal RNA is filed under the name Companilactobacillus paralimentarius. Its description in RNAcentral is "bacterial SSU rRNA". It matches the Rfam family "Bacterial small subunit ribosomal RNA". The record is from RNAcentral. Lineage: Bacteria; Bacillati; Bacillota; Bacilli; Lactobacillales; Lactobacillaceae.
UUAAUAUGAGAGUUUGAUCCUGGCUCAGGACGAACGCUGGCGGCAUGCCUAAUACAUGCAAGUCGAACGAACCAUCCUGAUGAUUGAAGCUUGCUUCAUGAUUCAGACCUUGGUGAGUGGCGGACGGGUGAGUAACACGUGGGUAACCUGCCCAGAAGUGGGGGAUAACAUUUGGAAACAAGUGCUAAUACCGCAUAACAACUUAGAUCACAUGAUCUUUGUUUAAAAGAUGGUUUUGCUAUCUCUUCUGGAUGGACCCGCGGCGUAUUAGCUAGUUGGUGAGGUAAUAGCUCACCAAGGCGAUGAUACGUAGCCGACCUGAGAGGGUAAUCGGCCACAUUGGGACUGAGACACGGCCCAAACUCCUACGGGAGGCAGCAGUAGGGAAUCUUCCACAAUGGACGAAAGUCUGAUGGAGCAAUGCCGCGUGAGUGAAGAAGGUUUUCGGAUCGUAAAACUCUGUUGUUGAAGAAGAAUAUAUGUGAGAGUAACUGUUCACGUACUGACGGUAUUCAACCAGAAAGCCACGGCUAACUACGUGCCAGCAGCCGCGGUAAUACGUAGGUGGCAAGCGUUGUCCGGAUUUAUUGGGCGUAAAGAGAAUGUAGGCGGUUUAUUAAGUUUGAAGUGAAAGCCCUCGGCUCAACCGAGGAAGUGCUUCGAAAACUGGUAAACUUGAGUGCAGAAGAGGAAAGUGGAACUCCAUGUGUAGCGGUGGAAUGCGUAGAUAUAUGGAAGAACACCAGUGGCGAAGGCGGCUUUCUGGUCUGUAACUGACGCUGAGAUUCGAAAGCAUGGGUAGCAAACAGGAUUAGAUACCCUGGUAGUCCAUGCCGUAAACGAUGAGUGCUAAGUGUUGGAGGGUUUCCGCCCUUCAGUGCUGCAGCUAACGCAUUAAGCACUCCGCCUGGGGAGUACGAUCGCAAGAUUGAAACUCAAAGGAAUUGACGGGGGCCCGCACAAGCGGUGGAGCAUGUGGUUUAAUUCGAAGCAACGCGAAGAACCUUACCAGGUCUUGACAUACCAUGAAAAGCUUAGAGAUAAGUCUUUCCCUUCGGGGACAUGGAUACAGGUGGUGCAUGGUUGUCGUCAGCUCGUGUCGUGAGAUGUUGGGUUAAGUCCCGCAACGAGCGCAACCCUUAUUAUCAGUUGCCAGCAUUCAGUUGGGCACUCUGGUGAGACUGCCGGUGAUAAACCGGAGGAAGGUGGGGACGACGUCAAAUCAUCAUGCCCCUUAUGACCUGGGCUACACACGUGCUACAAUGGUCGGUACAACGUGCUGCGAACUCGCGAGGGCAAGCAAAUCACUUAAAACCGAUCUCAGUUCGGAUUGUAGGCUGCAACUCGCCUACAUGAAGCUGGAAUCGCUAGUAAUCGCGGAUCAGCAUGCCGCGGUGAAUACGUUCCCGGGCCUUGUACACACCGCCCGUCACACCAUGAGAGUUUGUAACACCCAAAGUCGGUGGGGUAACCCUUCGGGGAACUAGCCGCCUAAGGUGGGACAAAUGAUUAGGGUGAAGUCGUAACAAGGUAGCCGUAGGAGAACCUGCGGCUGGAUCACCUCCUUUCUAAGGA